Non-coding RNA from Acanthopagrus latus (yellowfin seabream), 324 nucleotides. Lineage: Eukaryota; Metazoa; Chordata; Actinopteri; Spariformes; Sparidae. The record is from the annotation of a RefSeq genome assembly.
AUCAGUUCAGCUUCAACAUCAACCAUGUUCUCUGUAGCUCUGCUGCUGCUGCUGGCUGCUGGAUCCUGUGUGAACAGUAUUGAUCUCAUCCAGCCGGACUCAAAGGUUGUGCAGCCUGGACAGUCUUUGACCAUCACCUGUCAGGUCUCUGGUUAUUCUUUGACUGAUGACAGCUAUGCAACAGGUUGGAUCAGACAGUGUGAAGGAAAACCAAUGGACUGGAUUUUGCACCGGUGGGGUGGAGGAGACUUUUACCAAAAUAAUGCUCUGAAGAACAAGUUCAGCUAUAGCAGAGACUCUAACAGGACAGAAUCUGCAGCCUGA